RNAcentral lists this ribosomal RNA (254 nucleotides) under uncultured bacterium. RNAcentral describes it as "partial 16S ribosomal RNA". It matches the Rfam family "Bacterial small subunit ribosomal RNA", at positions 524 to 776 of the family's 1533-position model. The record is from RNAcentral.
UACAGAGGUCUCAAGCGUUGUUCGGAUUCAUUGGGCGUAAAGGGUGCGUAGGUGGCGGGGUAAGUCAGGUGUGAAAUUUCGGAGCUUAACUCCGAAACUGCAUUUGAUACUGCCUUGCUUGAGGACUGGAGAGGAGACUGGAAUUUACGGUGUAGCAGUGAAAUGCGUAGAUAUCGUAAGGAAGACCAGUGGCGAAGGCGGGGUCUCUGGACAGUUCCUGACACUGAGGCACGAAGGCUAGGGGAGCAAACGGG